RNAcentral lists this ribosomal RNA (497 nucleotides) under uncultured bacterium. Its description in RNAcentral is "partial 16S ribosomal RNA". It matches the Rfam family "Bacterial small subunit ribosomal RNA", at positions 28 to 507 of the family's 1533-position model. The record is from RNAcentral.
GAUGAACGCUGGCGGCGUGCCUAAUACAUGCAAGUCGAGCGAACGGACGAGAAGCUUGCUUCUCUGAUGUUAGCGGCGGACGGGUGAGUAACACGUGGAUAACCUACCUAUAAGACUGGGAUAACUUCGGGAAACCGGAGCUAAUACCGGAUGAUAUUUUGAACCGCAUGGUUCAAAAGUGAAAGACGGUCUUGCUGUCACUUAUAGAUGGAUCCGCGCUGCAUUAGCUAGUUGGUAAGGUAACGGCUUACCAAGGCAACGAUGCAUAGCCGACCUGAGAGGGUGACGGGCCACUCUGGAACUGAGACACGGUCCAGACUCCUACGGGAGGCAGCAGUAGCGAAUCUUCCGCAAUGGGCGAAAGCCUGACGGAGCAACGCCGCGUGAGUGAUGAAGGUCUUCGGACCGUAAAACUCUGUUAUUAGGGAAGAACAUAUGUGUAAGUAACUGUGCACAUCUUGACGUUACCUAAUCAGAAAGCCACGGCUAACUACGUG